RNAcentral lists this transfer RNA (58 nucleotides) under Loxodonta africana (African savanna elephant). It matches the Rfam family "tRNA", at positions 8 to 63 of the family's 71-position model. From Rfam's summary of the family: Transfer RNA (tRNA) molecules are approximately 80 nucleotides in length. Their secondary structure includes four short double-helical elements and three loops (D, anti-codon, and T loops). Lineage: Eukaryota; Metazoa; Chordata; Mammalia; Proboscidea; Elephantidae. The record is from Rfam by way of RNAcentral.
UAGCUUAAUGGUUAGAGCACUCGGCUGCUAACUGAAAGGUUGGUGAUUCAAACCCACC